AGAGUUUGAUCGUGGCUCAGGACGAACGCUGGCGGCGUGCUUAACACAUGCAAGUCGAACGGAAAGUGCCCGGCCGGCCGUGAUUAAAGUGGCGAAGGUGAGUAACGCAUAGACAACCUGCCCCGGACACGGGGAUAACGGCUGGAACGGCCGCUAAUACCCGAUGAAGCCGCAGGUCGCAUGUCCUGUGGUUAAGUUGGGGAUCUUUCGGGACCUUUCGGUCCGGGAGGGGUCUAUGUCCUAUCAGCUUGUUGGUGGGGUAAUGGCCUACCAAGGCGACGACGGGUAGCCGGCCUGAGAGGGUGUACGGCCACAUUGGGACUGAGACACGGCCCAGACUCCUACGGGAGGCUGCAGUCGGGAAUAUUCCACAAUGGGCGCAAGCCUGAUGGUGCGACGCCGCGUGGGGGAUGAGGGCCUUCGGGUUGUAAACUCCUGUCAGAGGUUAGAAAAGCCCGUUCGCUAAUACCGGUCGGGUUUGACGUAAGCCUCAGAGGAAGCUCCGGCUAACUACGUGCCAGCAGCCGCGGAAUUACUGGGCGUAAAGAGCUCGUAGGUGGUUUGUCGCGUCGUCUGUGAAAUCCCGGGGCUUAACUUCGGGCGUGCAGGCGAUACGGGCAUAACUAGAGUGCUGUAGGGGAGACUGGAAUUCCUGGUGUAGCGGUGAAAUGCGCAGAUAUCAGGAGGAACACCGAUGGCGAAGGCAGGUCUCUGGGCAGUUACUGACGCUGAGGAGCGAAAGCAUGGGUAGCGAACAGGAUUAGAUACCCUGGUAGUCCAUGCCGUAAACGGUGGGCGCUAGGUGUGGGGGUUUUAUUUACGAUUCCCGUGCCGUAGCUAACGCAUUAAGCGCCCCGCCUGGGGAGUACGGCCGCAAGGCUAAAACUCAAAGGAAUUGACGG
This 902-nucleotide ribosomal RNA is filed under the name uncultured Corynebacterium sp. RNAcentral describes it as "bacterial SSU rRNA". It matches the Rfam family "Bacterial small subunit ribosomal RNA", at positions 8 to 916 of the family's 1533-position model. Lineage: Bacteria; Bacillati; Actinomycetota; Actinomycetes; Mycobacteriales; Corynebacteriaceae. The record is from RNAcentral.